GGCUACCAUGCAGUCGAGCGGAACGAGUUAUCUGAACCUUCGGGGGACGAUAACGGCUUCGAGCGGCGGACGGGUGAGUAAUGCCUAGGAAAUUGCCCUGAUGUGGGGGAUAACCAUUGGAAACGAUGGCUAAUACCGCAUGAUGCCUACGGGCCAAAGAGGGGGACCUUCGGGCCUCUCGCGUCAGGAUAUGCCUAGGUGGGAUUAGCUAGUUGGUGAGGUAAGGGCUCACCAAGGCGACGAUCCCUAGCUGGUCUGAGAGGAUGAUCAGCCACACUGGAACUGAGACACGGUCCAGACUCCUACGGGAGGCAGCAGUGGGGAAUAUUGCACAAUGGGCGCAAGCCUGAUGCAGCCAUGCCGCGUGUGUGAAGAAGGCCUUCGGGUUGUAAAGCACUUUCAGUCGUGAGGAAGGUAGUGUAGUUAAUAGCUGCAUUAUUUGACGUUAGCGACAGAAGAAGCACCGGCUAACUCCGUGCCAGCAGCCGCGGUAAUACGGAGGGUGCGAGCGUUAAUCGGAAUUACUGGGCGUAAAGCGCAUGCAGGUGGUUUGUUAAGUCAGAUGUGAAAGCCCCGGGGCUCAACCUCGGAAUUGCCUUUUGAAACUGGGCAGACUAGAGUACUGUAGAAGGGUAGCGGGAAUUCCUGGGUGUAGCAGUGAAAAUGCGUACAGAUCAGGAGGAACAUCCAUGG
RNAcentral lists this ribosomal RNA (693 nucleotides) under uncultured bacterium. RNAcentral's name for it is "bacterial SSU rRNA". It matches the Rfam family "Bacterial small subunit ribosomal RNA", at positions 45 to 715 of the family's 1533-position model. The record is from RNAcentral.